GCCAGAUGAUCUUUGAGGUCCCUUCUGACCCUCUUCUUCUGACCCUGCUCUUCCUUCCCAGGGCUCUGACAGCACAGACCCCAAAGAUGCUACCCAGCCUGAAGGAGACCAGCCUCAGCAGAUCCAGGCGGGCGAGAGAGCCCCGGCCCCUCGAUUCCGCCCCAGAUACCGCAGACCUUUUCGCCCCCGUCCUCCGCAGCAGCCCACCACGGAGGGAGGAGACGGCGAGACGAAAGCGGCUCAGGCGCCGGCGGACGGCAUCCGUCCCGAGCCUCAAAGGCAGCGCAACCGGCCUUACUUCCAGCGCCGGCGCCAGCAGACAGCAGCUCGCCAGGCGGCGACUGAGGCAACCACCAAUACUAAGGAGCAGCCGGCCCCCAGCUCCGCAGCUGCUGGCGGGGACACCCCAGCUGCCAGCACUCCUGUGAUGACUCAAGAGCCUGUGGUGGAAGCCAGCAAGUCUGCUUCCCCGGCCCAGGAAAGCCCCACCCAGCCACUGCCGGAAAUCCAGCAACAGCUUGUGGAUGUAAGCAAGGUGGGGUGGAUGCGGGGGGGGGGCUUGGACCCCUGGCUAAUACUCCCCCAGCUUCUCCAUAGACUCUCCUGCUCGAGCAGGGGGUUGGACUAGAUGACCUCCAGGAUUGUCCCUUCCAACUCUCUGUUAUUCUAAUGCCUUAGCUUGCAAAGGGCCCCGCAAUGCCUUUAUGCGCCACCAGGGGUCACUCUUGAUCCACAUUCUGCAAGUAGCAGCCCACGGUCCACUCAAUCAGUCAGGAUAGAGCUGGAAGGGACCUUGUAGGUCAUCUAGUCCAACCCUCACCCACCCCGCCCAAACAAGAGACCCUACACCUGUUUUCCUUUCUUUUUUUUAAAAAAAAAUCCCAGACACCUGAGCCUGGGGGAGAGCUUGCCCCUGCUUUACUGGCGUGAAGAGCCUGCACACACCGAGGGGAUGCCAAGAGCUGCGAUUUGGUAAGUCUUUUUAGUCUUCGUUUUCAAGAGGGACUGAAUUUUGCGAGCGGCCUAACCAUAUAUCGCCCCUCCGAGUGUUGCAUUUAACCUCAGACAAACCCCCACCUGACUUUUAAUUUUUUACUUUAAAAUUAUGAUUAAUUGUGGGGAGAGGAUGGGGGUGUUGAAAGCUGCCAGAUUAUCUUGAACUCCUUAAAUUUGCAAAUGGAAAUUUGCACAGUUUCUCCCUCUUCUACUAAGUGCUUCCUUGGCUAGGUAUCUCUCAAAUGCACCAAGAUUUGUUUUUGUUUUUUUAAAGAAAAAUUGGCUUUUUCUCAACUACCCCCCCAACUGCCUGCAAACCCAUAGGAGUUCUUGGGAAGCUGGCUAAGAAGUUGUAUUUCCUAGCCUGCCAAUUUUUAUUUUUAUUUUAUUUUAGCCAAGGGGAGGUCUUGCUUCUCAGAUUUAAGGGGGAGGGGUCCUCAAUGCACUUAUAGAUUAACCAAAUUGGAAGGGCCCUUGUAGGUCAUCUAGUCCAACAACCCCCCCCCCCAAGCAGGAGACCCUACACCAUUUCUGGUGCUCCCUGAGCAGGACUCUACUUUUCUUGCAGACGUUUCACUACCCGAAGUAGGUAACAUCAUUAGUGCUGCAAGAAAACAGCCCCAGGAGGCCACAAUUCAGUGCUUAGCAAAGAGUCUCUUUUAUCGGUGUCCAGAUUUUAACUUUGCAAUGCCUCACCCUGCCUCAAUAUUUCAGGGUUUCCUUAAACCCCAGACCAUUGUCCGGUUUGCUUUUCCGUCCGUUGCAGGUGUCCAGAAUGUGCCUCCAACCCAAGUUACCUCAUCCUGCACUUGAAAAGACCCCAAACUUCACCAAUAACCCUCUUUGCUGCUGUUGAAGUUCUAAAAUGUUUAAAAAAGAAGAAAGAAAAAGAAAAAAAGAAGAAUAAACUUGACUGGGGUGGUGGUGGAAUAACUUGA
Molecule: long non-coding RNA, 1934 nt
Filed under: Notechis scutatus (mainland tiger snake)
Lineage: Eukaryota; Metazoa; Chordata; Lepidosauria; Squamata; Elapidae
Description: lncRNA (ENSNSUG00000010984.1)
Source: RNAcentral